RNAcentral lists this ribosomal RNA (392 nucleotides) under uncultured eukaryote. Its description in RNAcentral is "bacterial SSU rRNA". It matches the Rfam family "Eukaryotic small subunit ribosomal RNA", at positions 21 to 373 of the family's 1831-position model. The record is from RNAcentral.
AUUGUAGUCAUAUGCUUGUCUCAAAGAUUAAGCCAUGCAUGUCUAAGUACAGGCCGUUCCAAGGCGAAACUGCGGAUGGCUCAUUAAACCAUACAUAAGUUCUGAGGCGGUUGACGGGGGGCCUCUUCACGGGGGCUCCUCUACAUGGAUAACUGUGGUAAUUCUAGAGCUAAUACAUGCUUUACAAGCCCCGACCCUCGCGGGGAAGGGCGCACUUAUUAGUGACAAGACCAGCGGCCGUCUCUCGGGGCGGUAUAAACCACUGGGGAACUCUGGAUAAACUCUAGCUGACCGGGGCCUCGGCCCCGGCGCGCUUCUGAAGUGUAUGCCCUAUCAACUGACGAUGGUAGGUGCAAUGCCUACCAUGGUUGCAACGGGUAACGGGGAAUAAU